This 800-nucleotide ribosomal RNA is filed under the name Pseudooceanicola sp. RNAcentral describes it as "bacterial SSU rRNA". It matches the Rfam family "Bacterial small subunit ribosomal RNA", at positions 65 to 912 of the family's 1533-position model. The record is from RNAcentral. Lineage: Bacteria; Pseudomonadati; Pseudomonadota; Alphaproteobacteria; Rhodobacterales; Paracoccaceae.
AGCGAGACCUUCGGGUCUAGCGGCGGACGGGUGAGUAACGCGUGGGAAUGUGCCCUUCUCUACGGAAUAGUCCCGGGAAACUGGGUUUAAUACCGUAUACGCCCUUCGGGGGAAAGAUUUAUCGGAGAAGGAUCAGCCCGCGUCUGAUUAGGUAGUUGGUGGGGUAAUGGCCUACCAAGCCUACGAUCAGUAGCUGGUUUUAGAGGAUGAUCAGCCACACUGGGACUGAGACACGGCCCAGACUCCUACGGGAGGCAGCAGUGGGGAAUCUUAGACAAUGGGCGCAAGCCUGAUCUAGCCAUGCCGCGUGAGUGAUGAAGGCCUUAGGGUCGUAAAACUCUUUCGCCAGGGAUGAUAAUGACAGUACCUGGUAAAGAAGCCCCGGCUAACUCCGUGCCAGCAGCCGCGGUAAUACGGAGGGGGCUAGCGUUGUUCGGAAUUACUGGGCGUAAAGCGCGCGUAGGCGGACUAUUAAGUCAGGGGUGAAAUCCCGGGGCUCAACCCCGGAACUGCCCUUGAUACUGGUAGUCUUGAGUUCGAGAGAGGUGAGUGGAAUUCCGAGUGUAGAGGUGAAAUUCGUAGAUAUUCGGAGGAACACCAGUGGCGAAGGCGGCUCACUGGCUCGAUACUGACGCUGAGGUGCGAAAGUGUGGGGAGCAAACAGGAUUAGAUACCCUGGUAGUCCACACCGUAAACGAUGAAUGCCAGUCGUCGGCAAGCAUGCUUGUCGGUGACACACCUAACGGAUUAAGCAUUCCGCCUGGGGAGUACGGUCGCAAGAUUAAAACUCAAAGGAAUUG